RNAcentral lists this unclassified non-coding RNA (361 nucleotides) under soil metagenome. RNAcentral describes it as "partial contains 5.8S ribosomal RNA, internal transcribed spacer 2, and large subunit ribosomal RNA". The stretch from base 1 to 120 matches the Rfam family "5.8S ribosomal RNA", at positions 35 to 154 of the family's 154-position model. The record is from RNAcentral.
GAUGAAGAACGUAGCGAAAUGCGAUAAGUAAUGUGAAUUGCAGAAUUCAGUGAAUCAUUGAAUCAUUGAACGCACCUUGCGCUCCUUGGUAUUCCGAGGAGCAUGCCUGUUUGAGUGUCAUUAAUAUAUCAACCUUCUCUUUUUGAGUUGUUUGGAUGUGGGGGUUUGCUGGCCUCUUAAAUGAUUCAGCUCCCCUGAAAUGCAUUAGCAGAACAACCUGUUCAUUGGCGUGAUAAUUAUCUAUGCUAUUGAAUGUGAGGGCAGUUCAGCUUUCUAACCGUCCUUGGACAAUUCAUCAUUAAUGUGACCUCAAAUCAGGUAGGACUACCCGCUGAACUUAAGCAUAUCAAUAAGCGGAGGA